CACUCUGCUGACACUAGACUUGUCCAUGUCUGUGAUUGGUCAGAUGCUGCAAACACCGACCCGUUCAUGUGAACGCGCUCAUAACCAGACUGAGAAACCCUGGGUUGAUUUACCAAGUUGAUAACCAGCGUCAUAGGACCGCUUAGCAGGAUCUCGUUCGUUAGGGUUAGUGAAGCCAGAUAACGAGAAGAUACCCUGGGUAUGUUGAACUGGCUUCGUAGUACAGGCCUCUAGUCACACACUUAUAACA
This is a long non-coding RNA of Sebastes umbrosus (honeycomb rockfish), 250 nucleotides long. RefSeq lists it as uncharacterized. NCBI's taxonomy places the organism in Eukaryota, Metazoa, Chordata, Actinopteri, Perciformes, Sebastidae. The transcript is spliced from 3 exons. The record is from RefSeq and is a predicted model, not a curated record.